GCAGUAUCUGGGAGGUCAUUCUCCCCGGCUCUUCCUGGUGGUGGCAACAGCACAAGGUUUGGCCCCAUGACAUACAGUCCCUUUCCACGAUGUUGGAGAUGAAGCAGACCUUGAGCCUGCACCUGCAUGUUCCUGCAGCUUCCCAGAGUCCGUGGAGGAUGAUUGAGAUGAACCACACAGAAGACGCAC
RNAcentral lists this small nucleolar RNA (189 nucleotides) under Ochotona princeps (American pika). Its description in RNAcentral is "Small nucleolar RNA SNORA73 family (ENSOPRG00000022980.1)". Lineage: Eukaryota; Metazoa; Chordata; Mammalia; Lagomorpha; Ochotonidae. The record is from RNAcentral.